Long non-coding RNA from Bos taurus (domestic cattle), 1312 nucleotides. Lineage: Eukaryota; Metazoa; Chordata; Mammalia; Artiodactyla; Bovidae. The record is from Ensembl.
GGUAAGGAGAGCUGGUAGGAAGGAGCGGACAGACGUCAGAAAGCGGCCCCAGCUGAGUGAAAUGACGAAAUCAGGGCCACCCGGCCAGCAGGGCUUGGUCCUUUUCCCUUCUUUUAAGACAACAGCUUUCAGCUUUGACUGUCUGCAGCCCAAGACUUUCUUGGAAAUCACCCUGCCUGCCCCACCCCAAAGCUGAUAGGAGUUGGACGUGAAGCUUCCCCUGAACCAGACUGCCUCCCCACGCCUGGGAAGGUACAUGCUGUCCAUCCUGUCCAGCAAGGCAGUCCUCCCUGGACUUCUGGCUCACCCCACUCCCAGGCCAGCUGAUGAUGCAGCUGUCCUGGAGGUUGCUCGGCCCCUGGCCACUCUCUGAGGAGCCUGAAACCCUCCUCCAUCCUCCCCAGAGCUGGGGCCAAGCAGAUGCCCAGAGACUCGCUCUGGCCCCCCAGGGUGUCAGGCCGGCCGGCUGGGUGGGAGUGCUGGGCAGGGAUCUCAAGCCACUUUCCCCUGGCCCCUGGGCCACACUGCCCUUCGGGGCCCCUGAGCUGUGUCCACACAUUCCUGGCGGCCUGCUGCACUGAAGACGAGCCAGAGAGGAAGGGCUGCAGAGCUGAGGGCGAGGAGGCUGCCUCUGGCCUUCCAGGGGCUCCCCUCCAAGCUUUCAAGCUGCUAAAUGGGGUCCAGGUGCUGCCCAGGCUCCCGCCCCCUCAACGGCCCUCAUUCAGGCCCUUCCCCACCGUGCUCAGCACCCAGGUUUACCCCUCACAGGGUCCCUGCAGAGAAACUCCUACCAUCCCCGUGUUACAGGCUCAGAGAAGGGGAAGUGACUCCUCCAGGGUCACAAGGCCAGGGCGUGGAAGACCAGGGUGCUGGCCGACGGGUUUCAUGGCUGGGCCCUGGUUUGUGGGGUGGCCAGUUGGAGACUGAGGUCACACAGUGGCCAAGACUCAUUUCCUCCAUGUGGGAGCCAUGAAAAGAGUGACCAGUCGCCAUCUGAUGGUCUUGAGGGAAGAGCCUGCCUUGGAAUGGAGCCGCUCGAGGAGAGGAAGUGAGCAGAGGAGAGAAAGCAAGCUGGUCUUGAGCCUGGAUCGUGCCAUGCCUGAAGCUGUUGUUUCUCAGCUGUCAGAUGAUUGAGCCAGUAGAUCCUCUGUAAUGCUGAAGUCAGCUUGACUGAGUUUCCUGUGUUACCUGCAGCUCAGAUUGCUGUUCAGGGGCUCUGCCCAGCCAACCCUGACAAUAAACAAGAACUCAGCCACUUGGUGGGGUUAUGCCACGGAACGGACUGCCUGCCAUGUGCUGGAAGCUGUCUAUU